RNAcentral lists this ribosomal RNA (465 nucleotides) under uncultured bacterium. Its description in RNAcentral is "bacterial SSU rRNA". It matches the Rfam family "Bacterial small subunit ribosomal RNA", at positions 338 to 795 of the family's 1533-position model. The record is from RNAcentral.
CCUACGGGAGGCAGCAGUAGGGAAUCUUCCGCAAUGGACGAAAGUCUGACGGAGCAACGCCGCGUGAGCGAUGAAGGCCUUCGGGUCGUAAAGCUCUGUUGUCAGGGAAGAACAAGUGCGGGAGUAACUGCCCGCACCUUGACGGUACCUGACCAGAAAGCCACGGCUAACUACGUGCCAGCAGCCGCGGUAAUACGGAGGGGGCAAGCGUUGUACGGAAGUAUUGGGGGUAAAGUGCGCGCAGGCGGGCCCUUAAAGCUGAAGGGAAAGGGCCCGGCUUAACCGGGGAGGGUCAUUGGAAACGGGGGGACUUGAGUGCAGAAGAGAAGAGCGGAAUUCCAUGUGUAGCGGUGAAAUGCGCAGCGAUAUGGAGGAACACCAGUGGCGAAGGCGGCUCUUUGGUCUGUAACUGACGCUGAGGCGCGAAAGCGUGGGGAGCAAACAGGAUUAGAUACCCGAGUAGUC